Long non-coding RNA from Anguilla rostrata (American eel), 238 nucleotides. RefSeq lists it as uncharacterized. Lineage: Eukaryota; Metazoa; Chordata; Actinopteri; Anguilliformes; Anguillidae. The record is from RefSeq and is a predicted model, not a curated record. The transcript has 2 exons.
AGAAACUUGGCAAGUGGACAUUUUAUAUCCUGAUAAUUCAUAAUGAAUGGUCCACAGUAUCAAAGUAACAACAGGGUUACUCUCAGGAAAAAAAAAUUGGAAAUGCAUUGCAUCAAAAUAAAAUUCUAACAAGUGUGCAGAAAUAUGAAAUGCCUUUGCGUAGUGUUGUGUUAGUGUUUCAUAGCCCAACACAUAGUGUUUCACAACAAAUAAAUGAAUUAAAAAGCAUUAAAAGAAA